UACGGAGGGUGCAAGCGUUAUCCGGAUUCACUGGGUUUAAAGGGUGCGUAGGCGGGCAGGUAAGUCAGUGGUGAAAUCUUCGAGCUUAACUCGGAAACUGCCGUUGAUACUAUCUGUCUUGAAUUUAGUGGAGGUAAGCGGAAUAUGUCAUGUAGCGGUGAAAUGCUUAGAUAUGACAUAGAACACCAAUUGCGAAGGCAGCUUGCUACACUAUUAUUGACGCUGAGGCACGAAAGCGUGGGGAUCAAACAGGAUUAGAUACCCUGGUAGUCCACGCCCUAAACGAUGAUUACUCGACAUCAGCGAUACACUGUUGGUGUCUAAGCUAAAGCAUUAAGUAAUCCACCUGGGAAGUACGAUCGCAAGAUUGAA
RNAcentral lists this ribosomal RNA (372 nucleotides) under uncultured bacterium. RNAcentral describes it as "bacterial SSU rRNA". It matches the Rfam family "Bacterial small subunit ribosomal RNA", at positions 524 to 898 of the family's 1533-position model. The record is from RNAcentral.